Molecule: ribosomal RNA, 473 nt
Filed under: Gemmatimonadales bacterium
Lineage: Bacteria; Pseudomonadati; Gemmatimonadota; Gemmatimonadia; Gemmatimonadales
Description: bacterial SSU rRNA
Rfam family: Bacterial small subunit ribosomal RNA
Source: RNAcentral
UUUGUGGAGAGUUUGAUUCUGGCUCAGAACGAACGCUGGCAGCGUGGAUUAGGCAUGCAAGUCGAACGAGAGCUGAUGGUAUAGCAAUAUAUUGUCAGCAAAAGUGGCGGAAGGGCGAGUAACACGUGGGCAAUCUGCCUCCAAGUUGGGGACAACCCCGCGAAAGCGGGGCUAAUACCGGAUGUGGUUGCUGGUCGCAUGACUGGCGGAUCAAAGGUGGGGAUCCUUCGGGACCUGCCGCUUGGAGAGGAGCUCGCGUCCUAUCAGCUUGUUGGUGAGGUAACGGCUCACCAAGGCUAAGACGGGUAGCUGGUCUGAGAGGAUGGUCAGCCGCACUGGGACUGAGACACUGCCCAGACUCCUACGGGAGGCUGCAGUCGAGGAUCUUCUGCAAUGGGCGAAAGCCUGACAGAGCGACGCUGCGUGGAGGAUGAAGGCCUUCGGGUCGUAAACUCCUGUCAUCUGGGAAUAAU